This 504-nucleotide ribosomal RNA is filed under the name uncultured bacterium. Its description in RNAcentral is "partial 16S ribosomal RNA". It matches the Rfam family "Bacterial small subunit ribosomal RNA", at positions 28 to 523 of the family's 1533-position model. The record is from RNAcentral.
GUUGAACGCUGGCGGCAGGCCUAACACAUGCAAGUCGAGCGGUAGCACAGAGAGCUUGCUCUCGGGUGACGAGCGGCGGACGGGUGAGUAAUGUCUGGGAAACUGCCUGAUGGAGGGGGAUAACUACUGGAAACGGUAGCUAAUACCGCAUAACGUCGCAAGACCAAAGAGGGGGACCUUCGGGCCUCUUGACAUCAGAUGUGCCCAGAUGGGAUUAGCUAGUAGGUGGGGUAAUGGCUCACCUAGGCGACGAUCCCUAGCUGGUCUGAGAGGAUAACCAGCCACACUGGAACAGAGACACGGUCCAGACUCCUACGGGAGGCAGCAGUGGGGAAUAUUGCACAAUGGGCGCAAGCCUGAUGCAGCCAUGCCGCGUGUGUGAAGAAGGCCUUCGGGUUGUAAAGCACUUUCAGCGAGGAGGAAGGCGGUGAGGUUAAUAACCUCAUCGAUUGACGUUACUCGCAGAAGAAGCACCGGCUAACUCCGUGCCAGCAGCCGCGGUAA